GGGGAAUAUUGGACAAUGGGCGCAAGCCUGAUCCAGCCAUGCCGCGUGAGUGAAGAAGGCCUUAGGGUUGUAAAGCUCUUUCACCCGCGAACAUGAUGACGGUAGCGGGAGAAGAAGCCCCGGCUAACUCCGUGCCAGCAGCCGCGGUAAUACGGAGGGGGCAAGCGUUGUUCGGAUUUACUGGGCGUAAAGGGCGCGUAGGCGGAUGUUCGCGUCAGAGGUGAAAGCCCCGGGCUCAACCUUGGAACUGCCUUUGAAACGGGACAUCUUGAGUUCGGAAGAGGGUAGCGGAAUUCCCAGUGUAGAGGUGAAAUUCGUAGAUAUUGGGAAGAACACCAGUAGCGAAGGCGGCUACCUGGUCCGACACUGACGCUGAGGCGCGAAAGCGUGGGGAGCAAAC
RNAcentral lists this ribosomal RNA (400 nucleotides) under uncultured bacterium. RNAcentral describes it as "bacterial SSU rRNA". It matches the Rfam family "Bacterial small subunit ribosomal RNA", at positions 356 to 773 of the family's 1533-position model. The record is from RNAcentral.